AACCCAGACUCCUACGGGAGGCAGCAGUGGGGAAUAUUGCACAAUGGGGGGAACCCUGAUGCAGCGACGCCGCGUGGGCGAGGAAGUAUUUCGGUAUGUAAAGCCCUAUCGGCAGGGAAGAAGAAAUGACGGUACCUGAAUAAGAAGCACCGGCUAAAUACGUGCCAGCAGCCGCGGUAAUACGUAUGGUGCAAGCGUUAUCCGGAUUUACUGGGCGUAAAGGGAGCGCAGGCGGCGCGCCAAGUCUGAUGUGAAACCCCGGGGCUCAACUCCGGGACUGCUUUUGAAACUGUACAGCUUGAUUGCAGGAGAGGCGAGUGGAAUUCCUAGUGUAGCGGUGAAAUGCGUAGAUAUUAGGAGGAACACCAGUGGCGAAGGCGGCUUGCUGGACUGUAAAUGACGCUGAGGCUCGAAAGCGUGGGGAGCAAACAGGAUUAGAUACCCGUGUAAC
Molecule: ribosomal RNA, 451 nt
Filed under: uncultured bacterium
Lineage: Bacteria
Description: partial 16S ribosomal RNA
Rfam family: Bacterial small subunit ribosomal RNA
Source: RNAcentral